RNAcentral lists this ribosomal RNA (448 nucleotides) under uncultured bacterium. RNAcentral describes it as "bacterial SSU rRNA". It matches the Rfam family "Bacterial small subunit ribosomal RNA", at positions 355 to 796 of the family's 1533-position model. The record is from RNAcentral.
UCGAGAAUUUUUCACAAUGGGCGCAAGCCUGAUGGAGCGACGCCGCGUGGGGGAUGAAUGGCUUCGGCCCGUAAACCCCUGUCAUUCGCGAUCAAACGUUGUUAUUUAAAAGAUGACGACCUGAUAGUAGCGGAAGAGGAAGGGACGGCUAACUCUGUGCCAGCAGCCGCGGUAAUACAGAGGUCCCAAGCGUUGUUCGGAUUCACUGGGCGUAAAGGGUGCGUAGGUGGUCGGGUAAGUCGGAUGUGAAAGCUCGGAGCUCAACUCCGAAAUGGCAUUGGAAACUACCUGGCUCGAGGGUUGGAGGGGGGACUGGAAUUCUCGGUGUAGCAGUGAAAUGCGUAGAUAUCGAGAGGAACACCAGUGGCGAAGGCGAGUCCCUGGACAACUCCUGACACUGAGGCACGAAAGCUAGGGGAGCAAACAGGAUUAGAUACCCGUGUAGUCC